CGGUAACAGGGGGAAGCUUGCUUCCCGCUGACGAGCGGCGGACGGGUGAGUAAUGCUUAGGAAUCUGCCCAGUAGUGGGGGAUAGCCCGGGGAAACCCGGAUUAAUACCGCAUACGUCCUACGGGAGAAAGCAGGGGAUCUUCGGACCUUGCGCUAUUGGAUGAGCCUAAGUCGGAUUAGCUAGUUGGUGGGGUAAAGGCCUACCAAGGCGACGAUCCGUAGCUGGUCUGAGAGGAUGAUCAGCCACAUCGGGACUGAGACACGGCCCGAACUCCUACGGGAGGCAGCAGUGGGGAAUAUUGGACAAUGGGGGCAACCCUGAUCCAGCCAUGCCGCGUGUGUGAAGAAGGCUUUCGGGUUGUAAAGCACUUUCAGUAGGGAGGAAAACCUUAUGGUUAAUACCCAUGAGGCUUGACGUUACCUACAGAAGAAGCACCGGCUAACUCCGUGCCAGCAGCCGCGGUAAUACGGAGGGUGCAAGCGUUAAUCGGAAUUACUGGGCGUAAAGCGCGCGUAGGUGGUUUGGUAAGCGAGAUGUGAAAGCCCCGGGCUUAACCUGGGAACGGCAUUUCGAACUGUCAGACUAGAGUGUGGUAGAGGGUAGUGGAAUUUCCUGUGUAGCGGUGAAAUGCGUAGAUAUAGGAAGGAACACCAGUGGCGAA
This 662-nucleotide ribosomal RNA is filed under the name Marinobacter nauticus. Its description in RNAcentral is "bacterial SSU rRNA". It matches the Rfam family "Bacterial small subunit ribosomal RNA", at positions 67 to 719 of the family's 1533-position model. Lineage: Bacteria; Pseudomonadati; Pseudomonadota; Gammaproteobacteria; Pseudomonadales; Marinobacteraceae. The record is from RNAcentral.